This 76-nucleotide transfer RNA is filed under the name Planctomycetota bacterium. RNAcentral describes it as "Planctomycetes bacterium (freshwater sediment metagenome) tRNA-Cys". It matches the Rfam family "tRNA". Rfam says of the family: Transfer RNA (tRNA) molecules are approximately 80 nucleotides in length. Lineage: Bacteria; Pseudomonadati; Planctomycetota. The record is from RNAcentral.
GGCGCCGUAGCCAAAUGGCUAAGGCAACGGAUUGCAAAUCCGUCAUUUGUGGGUUCGAGUCCCACCGGCGCCUCCA